GGACCUGACUGCUAUCGGAUUGAUACUAAGCCAUGCGAGUCAUGNUAGCAAUACAAGGCAUACGGCUCAGUAACGCGUAGUCAACCUAACCUAUGGACGGGAAUAACCUCGGGAAACUGAGAAUAAUGCCCGAUAGAACAUUAUGCCUGGAAUGGUUUAUGUUCCAAAUGAUUUAUCGCCGUAGGAUGGGACUGCGGCCUAUCAGUUUGUUGGUGAGGUAAUGGCCCACCAAGACUAUUACAGGUACGGGCUCUGAGAGGAGUAGCCCGGAGAUGGGUACUGAGACACGGACCCAGGCCCUAUGGGGCGCAGCAGGCGAGAAAACUUUGCAAUGUGCGAAAGCACGACAAGGUUAAUCCGAGUGGUUUCUGCUAAAGAAACCUUUUGUCAGUCCUAGAAACACUGAUGAAUAAGGGGUGGGCGAGUUCUGGUGU
RNAcentral lists this ribosomal RNA (434 nucleotides) under uncultured archaeon. RNAcentral's name for it is "bacterial SSU rRNA". It matches the Rfam family "Archaeal small subunit ribosomal RNA", at positions 19 to 458 of the family's 1478-position model. The record is from RNAcentral.